This 234-nucleotide ribosomal RNA is filed under the name uncultured bacterium. RNAcentral describes it as "partial 16S ribosomal RNA". It matches the Rfam family "Bacterial small subunit ribosomal RNA", at positions 524 to 755 of the family's 1533-position model. The record is from RNAcentral.
UACGGAGGGGGCUAGCGUUGUUCGGAAUUACUGGGCGUAAAGCGCGUGUAGGCGGCUUUGCAAGUCGGGUGUGAAAGCCCUCAGCUCAACUGAGGAAGUGCGCCCGAAACUGACAGAGCUUGAGUGCCGGAGAGGGUGGCGGAAUUCCCGGUGUAGAGGUGAAAUUCGUAGAUAUCGGGAGGAACACCGGUGGCGAAGGCGGCGAUCUGGGUCGAUACUGACGCUGAGGCGGCG